CGUUAUUGGGAACAUUAUUAAUUAAUUCCCUCCGCAUUGCGCCCGCGCCACCACAGCUCCUUCCCUCACCUCUCCACUGCAGCUCCUUCGACGUCGUCACUACAGGAAGCUCUCGCCCCCUCCAUCAGUCACGCUGUCUAUCACCGUGUAUAUUUGCGGCUUGUUUGGGUGCCCUAAUUAGGGUUUAGAAUGCUUAGUAUUUGGGAACGUACCACGAAUGGUUUAUUUGGCAUUGAGAUUCUGUGAGCAAUGUCAACAUAGACCAUUUCGUGGACUUUGAGUUGCUGUACACAUUGCUACACACCCUAAUGCCAUUAGGGUAACUUGUAUGUUCCUGCGAUGAAGUUUUGUUUAACCAGAUUCUUUGAAAAUUGUAGGAGACCCAUGUUAUCUGGUUUUAUCUUUAGUUUGAGCAUGGGCAUGGUUCACGACCAGUUGCGGUUUUAAUACGGUUGAGAUGCUUAAAUGGAACAAGUCAUAUGAUUUCUGGUAAGGUCAUUGCAGAGAUGAUUGCAAUUAGAAGAUCACUCGUUAGUCUCUAAGGUACUACUAUUUAAUUGUGUAACAAAGUUAAGGCUCUCGAAGAACUUCUUGUUGCUGGACUGAACAUAAAAUCAUCAAAUUAUCACCGGCCUUACUGCACCCAAAGUUUUUGUUACUAGCACAUUUUGAGUAUUGUUUGUGUUGAUUACAGGGAGAAUUCCGCUUGCUGGGAACAAUGAACUUCUGGCAGAUUGGGCAGCAGAAUAUGUAAGGUGGGGGAAAUCCUUAAGACAUGUUGUGGAUCCAAGGCAGAAGUCUUUGCAGGAAGAAGAGAUUGAGGAAUGGUCUGAAGUGAUAAGAAACUGUGUACAACCAGAUCCGGAGAGAAGGCAAGCAUCACCACUUUGGUGAGCAGAAAUGGCAAUUACAUCCACUGAUUCAAGUUGAGACAUUAAUAUUAUAACACAAAUAAGAGUUGGAUGAUAAUUUGUACAGUUACUCUAAAUUUGGAAUUCAUGCACUUUUGAAAUAUUUAUGUUUAUACUAAUGUUUUCUAAACUAAUAUUUUGAAGCCAACCGAAAAAAAGAAGCAUGUAGAGAACAAAUAACAUUUGUCUCAUUGUAGAGGAAUUGACUUUUGUUAAUAUUUGGAGGGACAGUGUUUCCUUAAUACCCUUUCGAAUAUGUUCUUUUGGGAAACUGCUGUUGGGGCAGGGUAAAGGGCUGUUAUAUGUUUGCCUACUAUCUAUGAGCAUAAAAUGAUUUCAUUU
Molecule: long non-coding RNA, 1253 nt
Organism: Glycine soja
Lineage: Eukaryota; Viridiplantae; Streptophyta; Magnoliopsida; Fabales; Fabaceae
Exons: 5
Source: RefSeq, a predicted model, not a curated record